This 69-nucleotide transfer RNA is filed under the name Apistogramma cacatuoides. RNAcentral describes it as "tRNA-Ala". It matches the Rfam family "tRNA". From Rfam's summary of the family: Transfer RNA (tRNA) molecules are approximately 80 nucleotides in length. Their secondary structure includes four short double-helical elements and three loops (D, anti-codon, and T loops). Lineage: Eukaryota; Metazoa; Chordata; Actinopteri; Cichliformes; Cichlidae. The record is from RNAcentral.
AAGGCUUUAGCUUAAUUAAAGUAUUUGUGUUGCAUACAAAGGAUGUGAGAUAGAGUCUUGCAGGUCUUA